Molecule: non-coding RNA, 5225 nt
Organism: Podarcis lilfordi (Lilford's wall lizard)
Lineage: Eukaryota; Metazoa; Chordata; Lepidosauria; Squamata; Lacertidae
Source: the annotation of a GenBank genome assembly
CAGAGGAAAAUGCUUAGCGUUUUGACACGACAAUUGUCUGUAAGUACAGUACUUCAUAUUCUUUCAACAGGAAACACGUAGCCUUUUAAAGGAAACCUCACUGCUGGAGGCUGUUAUUUAUUUGUGAAUGACAUUUCACUAAAAGCGUCCCACUCGCCCCCAGUUUUCUAUUUCCAUGACAAUGUAAUGAUUCAGAAUCCGCGGACCCUUUGUCGGAUCGCACCUUGCCAUUUAAACACUGGAGCAAAGAUCCAAGAGGUUAUAAGGGUCACUCUCUGUUUCUCCAAGUGCUGUUGAGCAGGUGUUUUGCUCCUCUCAAAAGCUAUGUGGAGGUGGAAAAUAGAUCUGACCCACGUGUGAGUAACUAACAAAAAGAAUCAGCUGGGUUCCUAGAUUUAAAAUGUGAGGCUUUGCACAAUCUCCAGUGAGAGAGAAUAGAAUAGAAUAGAAUAGAAUAGAAUAGAAUAGAAUAGAAUAGAAUAGAAUCAUAGAGUUGGAAGAGACCACAAGGGCCAUCGAGUCCAACCCCCUGCCAAGCAGGAAACACCAUCAGAGCACUCCCGACAUAUGGCUGUCAAGCCUCUGCUUAAAGACCUCCAAAGAAGGAGACUCCACCACACUCCUUGGCAGCAAAUUCCACUGUCGAACAGCUCUUACUGUCAGGAAGUUCUUCCUAAUGUUUAGGUGGAAUCUUCUUUCUUGUAGUUUGGAUCCAUUGCUCCGUGUCCGCUUCUCUGGAGCAGCAGAAAACAACCUUUCUCCCUCCUCUAUGUGACAUCCUUUUAUAUAUUUGAACAUGGCUAUCAUAUCACCCCUUAACCUCCUCUUCUCCAGGCUAAACAUGCCCAGCUCCCUUAGCCGUUCCCCAUAAGGCAUCGUUUCCAGGCCUUUGACCAUUUUGGUUGCCCUCCUCUGGACACGUUCCAGUUUGUCAGUGUCCUUCUUGAACUGUGGUGCCCAGAACUGGACACAGUACUCCAGGUGAGGUCUGACCAGAGCAGAAUACAGUGGCACUAUUACUUCCCUUGAUCUAGAUGCUAUACUCCUAUUGAUGCAGCCCAGAAUUGCAUUGGCUUUUUUAGCUGCCGCGUCACACUGUUGGCUCAUGUCAAGUUUGUGGUCAACCAAGACUCCUAGAUCCUUUUCACAUGUACUGCUCUCAAGCCAAGUGUCACCCAUCUUGUAUUUGUGCCUCUCAUUCUUUUUGCCCAAGUGCAAUACUUUACAUUUCUCCCUGUUAAAAUUCAUCUUGUUUCUUUUGGCCCAGUUCUCUAAUCUGUCAAGGUCGUUUUGAAGUGUGAUCCUGUCCUCUGGGGUGUUAGCCACCCCUCACAGUUUGGUGUCAUCUGCAAAUUUGAUCAGGAUGCCCUUGAGUCCAUCAUCCAAGUCGUUGAUAAAGAUGUUGAAUAAGACCGGGCCCAAGACAGAACCCUGUGGCACCCCACUAGUCACUCUUCUCCAGGAUGAAGAGGAACCAUUGAUGAGCACCCUUUGGGUUCGGUCAGUCAGCCAGUUACAAAUCCACUGAGUGGUAGCAUAGUCAAGACCACAUUUUACCAGCUUCUUUACAAGGAUAUCAUGAGGCACCUUGUCAAAUGCCUUGCUGAAAUCAAGGUAGGCUACAUCCACUGCGUUCCCUCAUCUACCAGGCUUGUAAUUCUGUCAAAAAACGAGAUCAGGUUAGUCUGACAUGACUUAUUUUUCAGAAAUCCAUGCUGACUAUUGGUGAUCACAGCAUUCCUUUCUAGGUGCUCACAGACUGUACGCUUAAUGAUCUGCUCCAGAAUCUUCCCUGGUAUUGAUGUCAGACUGACUGGGCGGUAAUUAUUUGGGUCCUCUCUUUCCCCCUUUUUGAAAAUAGGGACAACAUUUGCCCUCCUCCAGUCUGCCGGGACUUCACCUGUUCUCCAGGAAUUCUCAAAGAUGACUGCCAGUGGUUCUGAGAUCACAUCUGCCAGUUCUUUUAAUACUCUUGGAUGCAGUUCAUCUGGCCCUGGAGACUUGAAUACAUCUAAACUAGCCAAGUAUUCUUGUACUAUCUCCUUAGUUAUUCUGGGCUGUGUUUCCUUUGCUGAAUCAUUUGCUCCAAAUUCUUCAGGUCGGGCAUUGUUUUCUUUAUCGGAGAAGACUGAGGCAAAGAAGGCAUUGAGGAGUUCAGCCCUUUCUGUGUCCCCUGUUUGCAUUUCACCAUCUUCUCCUCUGAGUGACCCCACUGUUUCUUUGUUCUUCCUUUUGCUACGGACAUACCCAUAAAAGCCUUUUUGUUGCUUUUAACCUCUCUAGCAAGCCUGAGUUCAUUCUGCGCUUUAGCUUUUCUGACUUUGUGUCUACACGUGCUGGCUAUUUGUUUGAAUUCCUCUUUGGUGGUUUCCCCCCUUUUCCAUUUUUUGUACACAUCCUUUUUUAAUCUUAACUCAGUUAAAAGUUCUUUAGAUAGCCACCCUGGCUUCUUUAGGCACCUUCCAUGUUUCCGUCUCAUUGGUAUUGCCUGACGUUGUGCUUUUACUAUCUCCCUCUUAACAAACUCCCAGCCAUCAUGAACUCCCUUUCCUUUUAGUAUUACUGUCCAUGGGAUCUCACCCAGCACUUCCCUAAGUUUUAUGAAGUCAGCUUUCUUAAAGUCAAGAAAUUGAGUCCUAGUAUGCUUGGCUGCUCCUUUCCGCUGUAUAGUAAACUUCAGAAGAGCAUGAUCACUCGCGCCUAAUGAUCCUUCCACUUCUACCCCACUAACCAGGUCAUCAACAUUGGUUAGGACCAGAUCUAAAAUGGCUGUUCCUCUUGUUGCUUCUCCCACUUUCUGGACAAUGAAGUUGUCUGCAAGGCCAGUGAGGAAUCUGUUUGACCUUAUGCUCUUGGCUGAGUUUGACAUCCAACAAAUAUCCGGGUAACUGAAGUCCCCAUUACUACUAUCUCCUUCCUUUUGCAUGCUUGGCCAUCUGUUCCAGGAAGGCAUCAUCUAUGUCCUCCGUUUGGCUUGGGGAUCUAUAGUAAACUCCCACAAUGAGGUCACUCUGAUUCUUCUCUCCCUUAAUUUUGACCCAAAUGCUCUCACUUUGGCUUUGAGGUUCUAAAUCUUGGAUCUCUUCACAGGUAUACACAUCCCUGACAUAUAACGCCACUCCUCCUCCUUUCUUGUCUGGUCUGUUUCUCUGAAAUAGAUUGUAUCCCCCCAUUAUUACAUUCCAAUCGUGGGACUUAUCCCACCAGGUUUCAGUGAUGCCUAUUAUGUCAUAUUUAGUUUGCUGUACCAAGAGCUCAAGCUCAUCUUGUUUAUUUCCCAUGCUUUGUGCAUUAGUGUACAGACAUUGAAGUCCAUUAAUCAUUCCCCGUGUCUCUUAUUUAAUGAUUUUUUCCUCCCACCACUAGGUCUGUGUGCUGUUUGCUCCAUUUGGUCUAUGACAUUUGGAUGAUCAUCUUCAUCAAUUGAUAGACUCCUACCUUCAGGAGCACUGUCUCCCUCCCCCACAUUAGUCAGUUUAAAGCCCUCUUGAUGAGGUUUCUUGGAUUUUUGGCAAAAACAUUUCUCCCAACCGUUGUGAGGUGCAGCCCAUCGCUUGCCAGAAGUCCAUCAGCAGAGUUAAAAACACUCUCAGAAUUACCGUAUUUUUCGCUCUAUAAGACGCACCAGACCACAAGACGCACUAAGUUUCUGGAGCAGGAAAACAAGGGAAAAAAUAUUCUGAAUCUCAGAAGCCAGAACAACAAGAGGGAUCGCUGUGCAGCGAAAGCAGCGAUCCCUCUUGCUGUUCUGGCUUCUGGGAUAGCUGUGCAGCCUGCAUUCGCUCCAUAAGACGCACACACAUUUCCCCUUACUUUUUAGGAGGGAAAAAGUGAGUCUUAUAGAGCAAAAUAUACGGUAACCAGCAGCAUAGCGUAGAAUGCAGGUUGUUAAAUCUCUUUGCAUAUCCUGUUAUAUAAUCAUAGAAUUGGAAAGACCCGAAGGGUCAUCUAGUCCAACCCUCUGCAAUGCAGGAAUAUGCAGGAAUAUACAAGGAUCGAACCUACAACCUUGGUGUUAUGAACACCACACUCUUACACACUGAGCUACCCAGGUUGACAAAAAACGCUUACCCCUCCAGCAAUGAGCAGACCACACAUUCUUAAGUUUAAAAGCUUUACUUACUAAAUCUAAAGGUCUGGUUCAUGCAUUGUUCUAUGCGGCAGCAAAGAGAACACCGGUACAUUGCUCUUGGGUGCAAAAUGCACAACAGUAUGAACUACCUUUACAUUAGGCCAGGGAGUUAUACCCUGUCAAUUGCAGUUCAGACAUGGCCGUCCUGGUGGAUUACGCAGUGAGAAGAGAGGAAAUAGAAGCAGCUUCACUUCCUCCUUCAUGGAAAAGAGUGGGGAUUCCAUAAAGAGGAAGGGGGCCAACACAGAGAGGGCUCUGUCUUGUUGCCACCCUUCAAACCUACCUUGGUGGUGUCACAUACAGAAGAGCCUCGGGUGAUGAUCUCAGGCUCUGGAUUGGUUCAUCUCAGGGAAGGUUGUUGGAAGCUUCCAGACAGGUAAAAUAAAGUCCUUCUCCAUGUAGCAGACUUUGAGAAAACAUCUGAAGGCAGCCCUGUUUAGGGAAGCUUUUAAUGUUUAAUAGAUUAUUGUAUUUUAAUAUUCUGUUGGAAGCUGCCCAGAGUGGCUGGGGAAACCCAGCCAGAUGGGCAGGGUAUAAAUAUAUUAUUAUUAUUAUUAUUAUUAUUAUUAUUAUUAUUAUUAAAUUUUGGAAUUCAAUCCCACAGGGGGCUGUGAUGGCCACCAACUUAGAUGACUUUAAAGUAGAAAGGUAAAGGUAAAGGACCCCUGACAGUUAAGUCUAAUCAUGAAUGACUCUGGGGUUGCGGCGCUCAUCUCGCUUUACAGGCCAAGGGAGCCGGCGUUUGUCCGCAGCCAGUUUUUCCAGGUCAUGUGGCCAGCAGGACUAAGCCGCUUCUGGCGAAACCAGAGCAGUGCACAGAAACGCCGUUUACCUUCCCACCGGAGCGGUACCUAUUUAUCUACUUGCACUUUGACGUGCUUUUGAACUGCUAGGUUGGCAGGAGCUGGGACCAAGCAAUGGGAGCUCAUCCCGUCGCGGGGAUUCGAACCUCCAACCUUCUGAUCGGCAAGCCCUAUUCAUGGAGCAGAAGGCUUUCAAUGUCUACUAACUACAAUGGAUAGUAAUAGUGGCCGCCGAGACCAUAUAACACGGGUCCUGAAAGACCUACAUUGACUCCCAGUAAGUUUCCGAG